This 886-nucleotide ribosomal RNA is filed under the name bacterium S13(2013). RNAcentral describes it as "bacterial SSU rRNA". It matches the Rfam family "Bacterial small subunit ribosomal RNA", at positions 44 to 935 of the family's 1533-position model. The record is from RNAcentral.
GGGCGGCUUACCUGCAAGUCGAGCGGUAGCACAGGGGAGCUUGCUCCCUGGGUGACGAGCGGGGGACGGGUGAGUAAUGUCUGGGAAACUGCCUGAUGGAGGGGGAUAACUACUGGAAACGGUAGCUAAUACCGCAUAACGUCACAAGACCAAAGAGGGGGACCUUCGGGCCUCUUGCCAUCAGAUGUGCCCAGAUGGGAUUAGCUAGUAGGUGGGGUAAUGGCUCACCUAGGCGACGAUCCCUACCUGGUCUGAGAGGAUGACCAGCCACACUGGAACUGAGACACGGUCCAUACUCCUACGGGAGGCAGCAGUGGGGAAUAUUGGACAAUGGGCGCAAGCCUGAUGCACCCAUGCCGCGUGUGUGAAGAACGCCUUCGGGUUGUAAAGCACUUUCAACGAGGAGGAAGGUGGUGAACUUAAUACGUUCAUCAAUUGACGUUACUCGCAGAACAAGCACCGGCUAACUCCGUGCCAGCAGCCGCGGUAAUACGGAGGGUGCAAGCGUUAAUCGGAAUUACUGGGCGUAAAGCGCACGCAGGCGGUUUGUUAAGUCAGAUGUGAAAUCCCCGGGCUCAACCUGGGAACUGCAUUUGAAACUGGCAAGCUAGAGUCUCGUAGAGGGGGGUAGAAUUCCAGGUGUAGCGGUGAAAUGCGUAGAGAUCUGGAGGAAUACCGGUGGCGAACGCGGCCCCCUGGACUAACACUGACGCUCAGUGCGAAAGCGUGGGGAGCAACAGGAUUAGAUACCCUGGUAGUCCACGCUGUAACGAUGUCGAUUUGGAGUUGUGCCCUUGAGCGUGGCUUCUGAGCUAACGCGUUAAUCACGGCAGGGGAGUACGCGCAAGCUAAACUCAAAUGAUUGACGCGGCCGCCCAGCCGCUGA